AAGCAAUCUCAUUAAAGUAAACCAACAAUAUUAUCCAGCGGAAGACUUAACCAAAAAUCCAAUAAUACGAUUCCAUUAAACCAACAAGUUCAACCAAACAUUAUUCCAAAACAUGAUCCUCCUAACAUGUUUCUAAAUUCCAUUCUAACACCCUAACAAAUCCAACAAUAAUCUAAAACACCAAUGAGUGCCUAGAUCAUCCUCCUCUCCUCGCCAUGAUUCCACGGAUCACACUUUGCUUUUACCUGCAUCAAAGAAAGAGAUGCAUAAGUAUUUCAUAAAUACUUAGUGAGGGCGAUCCUCCCAUCUACGAGCUAUACACACAAGCAAUGAGAUAACACCCACAUAUAUAACAAAAACAAACCAUCCAGCAAGCUAAACAUCCAAUAACACAUCCAGUUCACCUACAAAUCAUCACACAACAAGUCACUCAAUCCCAAUCGCUUAGAUAAGCUCAUGGUCACGCACUCACCUUAACAAGGUGAUUUGAGUUACAAAAACAACCAGGAAAUACUCUCUUCGUGACUGCAACAGCCAAACAACGCCCUACAACAAACCACACAAACACAAAUCUCUAAGAACCAAAAGGACAGAAACAUCAAAAAAACUACAGCCGCAGAAACGAAGCCCUAAAACAUAAACUAACCGUUAACUUCUUAAUCCCUACGGUGAAAAGCAAGAUACAGACGUCACGAAGCCCCCUACAAAAUUUGGUGCCGAUCGGAGAAACGAUGAAUCCACGAUCGCACUUACAAACUCCGCUGAUCCCAGUUCGCAACAGAGAAAACGCGUCUCACCAAACUGCAUAUAACUCACUGAGUAUUAAUCCAAAUUCACUUCUGUAAAAAGGAGAAUCAACGUACACGCCUUAAGAACAAACCUACCAAAAUUCAUUACCNNNNNNNNNNNNNNNNNNNNNNNNNNNNNNNNNNNNNNNNNNNNNNNNNNNNNNNNNNNNNNNNNNNNNNNNNNNNNNNNNNNNNNNNNNNNNNNNNNNNUUCGAUAAGAUUUGAUACGUCGUAACUCUAUUCUACCAGAACGUGACGGAUCUGCUUCUCUUGCCUUAAACACCAAAGCAAAGCUAACACUCUCCUUUUCACAAGUAAACUUCUCAUUUUCCUUUUCUCAACUCAACUCUCAGAAACAACAGCCACAAAACAAGAGAGAGAAGAAGCAUUCUUUAUAAAACUAGGGUUUUUGGUUUAAUUCUGAUUAAACCAGAAUUUACCUAAACCGACUUUAAUUAAACCUCUUUUGGUUCAAUUAAACAAAUCGACCAGUUUAGGAAAUCAACCGGAAUUAAACCGAUUCCACCCUAAUUCUUAUACACAUUCAAGUCUCAUAUUAAUUUUCAGAACACGGGCGUUACAAUUCUCCCCCACUAACAUGGAUUCGUCCUCGAAUCCUUCAACACCGUCCACCAGUUGGACUCCGUGCAACCGUCCCAAACGAUCUGCACUCCCACAACUGACUCCUCUGAGGCUCCUAUCUAAUCCAUAUACUCACGUUCCAGACCCUAUUUGCUCAUACUCACCCACUUCCCCCGUCCACAGGUCGCAACCCAUGAAUCAUACCGGCUCGUCCUCAGGCCUCUGCCUUAGACUACGGUAUCCAGGAAGUCUCACCACUCCCCCCGCUAUCAGGUCGCAACCCUCAAGUCAUACCGGCUCACUAUUAGGCCACCCGCCUUCUAGCUACGGUAUCCGGGAAGUCUCACGCUCGCUCUCGGGUCGUCACCCUCAAAUGUGCACUCGAAUCGUCAUCCGAAGCCAUCACAUCAUAUCCGAGCAAAUAAGUCUAAACGCCCCCGAGCAUAUCUCUCGAUUAGAUAUACCUCCCGUGGUCCACUUAUAGCAUCGCAAUGCUAUACUAACCACCACCCCGAGACUUUCCAAAAAUAGAACCGUCAAACCCGACACUUUCUAUUUUUAGAAACUCGCACAUAUUUCUCUUACACAUGACACAACAAGUCAAAUCAAGAAAUACUCACAUAGUCCAAGUACAACAUCACAAUGUCAUACCUACCAAACAAUAUUCCCACCUGGAAUAUCAUCUCUACCAUGACCAUUCUUCAAGUCAACUCCCAAACAAUCCCGUCACUCAGAGUAUUACAUAAUAGUCUCCAACUUAACUUCUCGGAAAUCCAUUUCCAACAAAACACCACCGAAGACCCGCGCUCCAGACUACAACCACCACAACCACAUAACUACUUCGAGCACCACGCUCGCAACCUCUAGCCUCCCACACUGCCACGAGCAGAAACUAGGAAAACAGAUGACUAGAGAAAAGAUAAAACAUCACAACUUACCGUGGAAUCUCAUUGAAGGCUCGAGAGGAUGAUCUAGGUCUCCAUGCUCACACAACUGAUUAAACACACAAAUCAAUCAGCAUGCAAUCCACAUCAUCAUUUUCCAUCAACGAAAUUCACACAUCACAUAAAAAAUAACCAAUUUACUCCCGCCCUAGAACCGUAAGGGCUCUGAUACCAAAUUGAAAGAACCCAUCCCAUUUUUUUUUCUUUUAAACAUGCAAACCGGAUUAACCCAAUUAAUUCGAACCAGCUAAACCGGCCAUAAUAAUUUAAAUCAAUUAAACCAAGCAAUCUCAUUAAAGUAAACCAACAAUAUUAUCCAGCGGAAGACUUAACCAAAAAUCCAAUAAUACGAUUCCAUUAAACCAACAAGUUCAACCAAACAUUAUUCCAAAACAUGAUCCUCCUAACAUGUUUCUAAAUUCCAUUCUAACACCCUAAUAAAUCCAACAAUAAUCUAAAACACCAAUGAGUGCCUAGAUCAUCCUCCUCUCCUCGCCAUGAUUCCACGGAUCACACUUUGCUUUUACCUGCAUCAAAGAAAGAGAUGCAUAAGUAUUUCAUAAAUACUUAGUGAGGGCGAUCCUACCAUCUACGAGCUAUACACACAAGCAAUGAGAUAACACCCACAUAUAUAACAAAAACAAACCAUCCAGCAAGCUAAACAUCCAAUAACACAUCCAGUUCACCUACAAAUCAUCACACAACAAGUCACUCAAUCCCAAUCGCUUAGAUAAGCUCAUGGUCACGCACUCACCUUAACAAGGUGAUUUGAGUUACAAAAACAACCAGGAAAUACUCUCUUCGUGACUGCAACAGCCAAACAACGCCCUACAACAAACCACACAAACACAAAUCUCUAAGAACCAAAAGGACAGAAACAUCAAAAAAACUACAGCCGCAGAAACGAAGCCCUAAAACAUAAACUAACCGUUAACUUCUUAAUCCCUACGGUGAAAAGCAAGAUACAGACGUCACGAAGCCCCCUACAAAAUUUGGUGCCGAUCGGAGAAACGAUGAAUCCACGAUCGCACUUACAAACUCCGCUGAUCCCAGUUCGCAACAGAGAAAACGCGUCUCACCAAACUGCAUAUAACUCACUGAGUAUUAAUCCAAAUUCACUUCUGUAAAAAGGAGAAUCAACGUACACGCCUUAAGAACAAACCUACCAAAAUUAAUUACCUUUCGAUAAGAUUUGAUACGUCGUAAAUCUAUUCUACCAGAACGUGACGGAUCUGCUUCUCUUGCCUUAAACACCAAAGCAAAGCUAACACUCUCCUUUUCACAAGUAAACUUCUCCUUUUCAUUUUCUCAACUCAACUCUCAGAAACAACAGCCACAAAACAAGAGAGAGAAGAAGCGUUCUUUAUAAAACUAGGGUUUUUGGUUUAAUUCUGAUUAAACCAGAAUUUACCUAAACCGACUUUAAU
RNAcentral lists this long non-coding RNA (3741 nucleotides) under Capsella rubella. RNAcentral describes it as "long non-coding RNA (CRUB_LNC003000)". The record is from RNAcentral. Lineage: Eukaryota; Viridiplantae; Streptophyta; Magnoliopsida; Brassicales; Brassicaceae.